RNAcentral lists this ribosomal RNA (398 nucleotides) under uncultured bacterium. RNAcentral describes it as "bacterial SSU rRNA". It matches the Rfam family "Bacterial small subunit ribosomal RNA", at positions 350 to 750 of the family's 1533-position model. The record is from RNAcentral.
AGCAGUAGGGAAUCUUCCGCAAUGGACGAAAGUCUGACGGAGCAACGCCGCGUGAACGAUGAAGGCCUUCGGGUCGUAAAGUUCUGUUGUUAGGGAAGAACAAGUACCGUUCAAAUAGGGCGGUACCUUGACGGUACCUAACCAGAAAGCCACGGCUAACUACGUGCCAGCAGCCGCGGUAAUACGUAGGUGGCAAGCGUUGUCCGGAAUUAUUGGGCGUAAAGCGCGCGCAGGCGGUUUUUUAAGUCUGAUGUGAAAGCCCACGGCUCAACUCGUGGAGGGUCAUCGGAACUGGAGAACUUGAGUGCAGAGAGGAGAGCGGAUUCCACGUGUAGCGUGAAAUGCGUAGAGAUGUGAGACACCAGUGGCGAAGCUCUCUGGUCUGUACUGACGCUGAG